CUUCCAAACUCAAGGACAAGAAGCACCUAACAUAACUAUCCACUCACCAAGCCAAGGAAGCUGCACUAAGUCUGAUGAAUCUAGUAAAGAAUAUGCACUAGGCUGCAUCAACCACCUAUGCUCCAUAAAUAAGGAACUUGCACCAGGAAUCAACCUAAGCAAGGAUACCUUGCAUCACACCACUACAACACACUCCCUAAAGUAUAACCAGACUAACCAUACUACACAUCAAACAUGACAUUCAAUCAAGCAAAGACAUUCAACAUUGUGCAAGCCUUACACCAGAAC
RNAcentral lists this long non-coding RNA (288 nucleotides) under Lupinus angustifolius (narrow-leaved blue lupine). RNAcentral's name for it is "long non-coding RNA (LANG_LNC001810)". The record is from RNAcentral. Lineage: Eukaryota; Viridiplantae; Streptophyta; Magnoliopsida; Fabales; Fabaceae.